CUAAUUCUUGGUAUGAAUUCAUUCUUAAAUCAUUUCAUAAGGAAAAAGUCAAUACAUCAAUUAUCGAUCUGAAAUGGAACCAUUCAUUUUCUUAUUUAUCAAAAUCAACAUCUCAAAGAUUUUCAAUGUUUCAAGAUUUCAAAAUUAUGAUCUCAUUUUCUGUAAAAAUUAAUAUUCAAUAUCUCAUGACUCAAAUUAAAAUCAAAUCUAUCUCUUGUGAAUAGAAGAAGGUCAAUGUCUCUAUUCUUGCAUAAGAACU
This 259-nucleotide long non-coding RNA is filed under the name Elaeis guineensis (African oil palm). RNAcentral's name for it is "long non-coding RNA (EGUI_LNC082279)". Lineage: Eukaryota; Viridiplantae; Streptophyta; Magnoliopsida; Arecales; Arecaceae. The record is from RNAcentral.